Molecule: ribosomal RNA, 461 nt
Filed under: uncultured bacterium
Lineage: Bacteria
Description: SSU rRNA
Rfam family: Bacterial small subunit ribosomal RNA
Source: RNAcentral
AGAACGAACGCUGGCGGCAUGCCUAACACAUGCAAGUCGAACGCUCUUGAGGCUUCGGUUUCAAGGGAGUGGCGCACGGGUGAGUAGCGCGUGGGAACCUGCCCUGUUGUGGGGGAUAACCGAGGGAAACUUCGGCUAAUACCGCAUGCGCCCGGGGAAACCCGGGGAAAGAUUUAUCGCAGCAGGAGGGGCCCGCGUCGGAUUAGGUAGUUGGUAGGGUAACGGCCUACCAAGCCUUUGAUCCGUAGCUGGUCUGAGAGGAUGAUCAGCCACACUGGGACUGAGACACGGCCCAGACUCCUACGGGAGGCAGCAGUGGGGAAUAUUGGACAAUGGGCGCAAGCCUGAUCCAGCAAUGCCGCGUGAGUGAUGAAGGCCUUAGGGUUGUAAAGCUCUUUCGCCCGCGACGAUGAUGACGGUAGCGGAGAAGAAGCCCCGGCUAACUUCGUGCCAGCAGCCGC